CGUGCAGGGUGGGUUUUGGUAAGUUGGAUGUGAAAUCUCCCGGCUCAACUGGGUGAGGUCGUUCAAAACUGCUGAACUAGAGGACGGUAGAGGAAAGUGGGAAUUCCCGGUGUAGUGGUGAAAUGCGUAGAUAUCGGGAGGAACACCAGUGGCGAAAGCGACUUUCUGGCCCGUUCCUGACACUAAGACGCGAAAGCUAGGGUAGCAAACG
RNAcentral lists this ribosomal RNA (211 nucleotides) under uncultured bacterium. RNAcentral's name for it is "partial 16S ribosomal RNA". It matches the Rfam family "Bacterial small subunit ribosomal RNA", at positions 568 to 774 of the family's 1533-position model. The record is from RNAcentral.